RNAcentral lists this RNase P RNA (369 nucleotides) under Gammaproteobacteria bacterium. RNAcentral's name for it is "RNase P RNA component class A". It matches the Rfam family "Bacterial RNase P class A". Rfam says of the family: Ribonuclease P (RNase P) is a ubiquitous endoribonuclease, found in archaea, bacteria and eukarya as well as chloroplasts and mitochondria. Its best characterised activity is the generation of mature 5'-ends of tRNAs by cleaving the 5'-leader elements of precursor-tRNAs. Lineage: Bacteria; Pseudomonadati; Pseudomonadota; Gammaproteobacteria. The record is from RNAcentral.
GGAGCCGGCCGGACAGCCGCUGGCCCGAUUUGGGUUGGAGGAAAGUCCGGACUCCGCAGGGCAGAGUGCCAGGUAAUGCCUGGGCGGCGUGAGCCGACGGCCAGUGCCACAGAAAAUAUACCGCCCGCAGCCGUAGUGGCCGCGGGUAAGGGUGAAAUGGUGCGGUAAGAGCGCACCGCGUUGGUGGCAACAUCAACGGCACGGUAAACCCCACUCGGAGCAAGACCAAAUAGGAAUCCAUGGGCGUGGCCCGCGCCGGAUUCGGGUAGGUCGCACGAGACGCGCGGUGACGCGCGCCCCAGAUGAAUGGCUGUCACGUUCCGUAACUGCGGAUCGAUACAGAAUCCGGCUUAUAGGCCGGCUCCACUC